RNAcentral lists this ribosomal RNA (403 nucleotides) under uncultured bacterium. RNAcentral's name for it is "bacterial SSU rRNA". It matches the Rfam family "Bacterial small subunit ribosomal RNA", at positions 362 to 758 of the family's 1533-position model. The record is from RNAcentral.
UUUUGGACAAUGGGCGAAAGCCUGAUCCAGCAAUGCCGCGUGCAGGAAGAAGGCCUUCGGGUUGUAAACUGCUUUUGUACGGAACGAAACGGUCUGCCCUAAUACGGCGGGCUAAUGACGGUACCGUAAGAAUAAGCACCGGCUAACUACGUGCCAGCAGCCGCGGUAAUACGUAGGGUGCGAGCGUUAAUCGGAAUUACUGGGCGUAAAGCGUGCGCAGGCGGUUAUGUAAGACAGUUGUGAAAUCCCCGGGCUCAACCUGGGAAUUGCAUCUGUGACUGCAUAGCUAGAGUACGGUAGAGGGGGAUGGAAUUCCGCGUGUAGCAGUGAAAUGCGUAGAUAUGCGGAGGAACACCGAUGGCGAAGGCAAUCCCCGGACCUGUACUGACGCUCAUGCACGAAA